Molecule: long non-coding RNA, 4014 nt
Organism: Lycium barbarum (goji berry)
Lineage: Eukaryota; Viridiplantae; Streptophyta; Magnoliopsida; Solanales; Solanaceae
Exons: 2
Source: RefSeq, a predicted model, not a curated record
GUAAAAAUUACGUGUCUACAAUAUCAACUGGUUGUUCAUGAGUAGAUAUGUAGUUGGUUGCCACCAUUGGUUGAGUUAUUUUCCCCCUUAUGAAAUGACAGUCAAUUUCUAUAUGCUUGGUUCUUUCAUGAUACACAGGGUUUGCUACAAUUUGAAUGGCAGCCUUGCUAUCAUAAAAAAUCUCAACGGGUUGAUUAUUGUCAAUACCUAGUUCUUUAAGUAAUCCCAGUAGCUAAAUGAUUUCAGAUACAGUUGAGGCAAUGCUCCUGUACUCUGAUUCUGUAGAGCUUCUUGACAUAGUUGUCGUUGUUUUUUUUUUUUAAAUUUCCAAGUAAUGAGAGAAUCCCCUAGUUUGAUGAGAUAUCAUGUCAUUGAUUUCCUAGAUGUAGGGCAGGCAACCCAAUCUGCAUCAUAAUAUGCAGUUAGAAUUGGCUUAGAAGUGCCGGAUAAUAGAACAACUUGUCCUGGUUGGUUCUUUAAGUAUCUGAUGAUCCUUAAAACAACUUCCAUAUGACGCUCAGGUUGUUGUAGGAAUUGGCUGAGGGUUUGAACACUGAAUGAGAUGUCAGGUCUAGUCAUGGUUAAGUAGAGGAAUUUGCUAAUGAUACUCUGAUGAAGACCUUGAUCAGCUAGUGGAUCAUUCACUAUUUGUUGUUCAUCACUUAGAAGAUCAUUAUACUGUUUGGUGGUCAUUUUUACAUUGGUGUCAAUGGGAGUAACUGCUGGUUUUGCAGCAGACAAACCAGUUUUUGAUAGUAGUUCCAACACAUAUUUCCUUUAAUGCAUAAGAAUUCCUUUGUUUGACCUAGCAAAUUCAAUCCCAAGGAAGUAUUUCAAUUCACCAAGGUCUUUCAUUUUGAAAGCUUUUUGCAGAGUUUCUUUGAUGUUCUGAAUCAUUUUUAGGCUGCUCCCUGUUAUAAGCAUGUCAUCCACAUAAACAAGGACAACAGUGACCCCUUCAGUAGUCUUUUUAGUGAAUAAAAAUUGAUCAUAUUGACUCUGCUGAAAUUUGGCUUUCAAUAGUGCUUCUGUAAGUUUGGCAUUCCAUUGCCUUGGGGCCUGUUUUAAUCCAUACAAGGAUUUAAUGAGUCUACUUACCUUGUUCUCCCCCUGACUUUUGAAUCCUUGCGGGAGUUCCAUAUAAAUUUCAUCAUAAAGAUCACCUUAUAGAAAGGCAUUAUAGACAUCCAUUUGAUGUACAUGCCACUGCUUCAUAACAACUAGUGAAAAUACUAUUCUUACAGUUUUCAUCUUGAUUACAUGUGAGAAUGUUUCUUGAUAGUCUAUUCCUUUCUUUUAGCUAUAACCUUUGGCUACUAAAAUAGCCUUAAACCUUUCUGUUUCCCCAGAUGCCUUGUAUUUGAUCUUAUAGAUCCAUUUGCAUCCAAUAGGACUUUUUCCUUGUGGUAAAGUGACUGUCUCCCAUGUAUGGUUACUUUCAAGUACUUCUAUUUCUGCUUUCAUGGAAUCCAACCACCUAGGAUCUUUGAUUGCCUCAUGGUAGGAUGAUGGUUCAGUAAUAUUGGAGGAUGAUGCUAUAUGUGCUUGAUAUGUAGGAGAAAUGCUAUUAUGGGGUAGGUACUUGGAAGUGUAUAUGGUUGAUCAUGAUGGAUACUUAGAGAGACAAAAUCCUUCAUCCAAGUUGGUGGUUUUCUUCCUCUAUGUGAUUGGUUGGCUGGUAUUUUUGUAGGUUGUUGAACUGGUUAUGGUAUUUGUUCAAUUUCUGGAUGUUGAACUUGAUUUUGAGUGACUUGUAUCUGAGUGUUACGUACCGUAUUUUUAUACAUUGGGACAACCCGGAUUAACUAUGACAAUUAAGGGCCAAGACUAUUCCGGGAUUUGACGUCGGGACUUUUGACCAUUUGAUUUUAUUUUGAGACAUAAGUUGAAUAUGAAAUUGAUGGCAUUGGACACUUAGGAAAAAUUGGGACCACAAUUCAUAAAAAUGGAAUUUAAAAGUCUUGCACCAAAAGCCAUGGUGGCCGUGUGGACUUGAAAUGGUCCCACACAUUGUGUGGCCAAUUUUAAUUGGUCCAACACAUGUGUGGGCCAUAAACAAAGGGAGAUAUUUGUGGAUACAAAAAAAAAAAAGAAGACUAAGUCAUCUUUCUCAUUUCCCACUUCUACACUUAGAGAAAAAUAACAAGACUUGGAGAGCCUCCACUCCCCCAUGGUUCUCAGCCACAACCAAGAAAAAUCAAGUCCCAUUUUUGCCUCUCUAAAAUUAUUUCUUUGGUAUAAACCCACUAUUUGGAGGUCCCUAAGUAGCGUGGAAGUAUUGUUUGGGUCAUUCAACCACUCAUUUUGCCCAUUUACAAACCCUAGCCUAUUGGUGGAUUGAAGAAUAAAGGUGAGUUCUAAUCUUGUUUUUGGAGUUAUAAAUGUUGUAUGCAUAUUGUAGUAUGCUAAAAUGGAUAAAAAUCAUGAAAUAUGGAAUGUUGAAGUUGGGUCUUGUGUUGGGUGUGUUGACCGUGUGAAGUAUAUGUGUGUGGUGUGGUAUUGGGUUGAUGAAUUAAUUGCUUGUAGCAUAUUGAUUGUCGUAGAGUGGAGAAGAGAAUAAAAAUCAUCGAUACAUGUAUAUGUGUAGUGUAGCCGUGUAUAUAGCCUCCAAAUGGUAGCAAAGAAUGAAUUAAUAUCGCUUAGCGUCGUAAUGGUUGUUGUGAUGAUUUGUAUGUUGGAAAUGAGAGUUAAAUGUCCCGAAUUGAUAUAGUAAGCGUUGCGGACUGAUUUGGAGAACUUUGUGCAUUUAAUGCAAUCCUUAUAUAUGAGAACCAUUAACAUAUGAAUAUGUGUAGUGUGAAUGAAUGUGAGUCAUAGAUUAUGCCGAAUAUCGCAUUAUUAUCGCUUAAGCGCUUUCGUGUCGUCGUUACGAAUUUUAGUUUGGAAUUGAGCAUUUAAUGACUUAAGAUUGAUGUUGAGAUUGUACGGGCUGAUUUGAGGGUUAUUGUGCGUUGAUGUAAUUUGUAUAUUUUAUGAAAAUGGUAUCGUUAUAUUGUGAAUUGUGAUACAAAACAUGAAUUGAAAGUCGGAAGUGUGCCCAGUGGGCUGCUCACGGGUAGGGGCUGUUUUCGGCCAAAAAUUUGGAGAAAUUGUGGAUUGUUGGAAAAAUUAUGUGAAUUGUUUAGAAUGUUCUUGAAUGUUGUUAGUAUGGGUUUGGGUUAAUAAUCGAAUGUACGAACGAUAUUGUGGCUUGAAAGUAAGCCAUUGAAUUGAAUAAUUGGAAAGUUGUCGAAUGGUGUAAAAGAGAGCUACUAUUAUUAUUUUGCCUUUCGAAUUGAUUAUCGAUGUUGCUAGGUUGGUUAUUGUGGUUGUUGUUGUUGAUUUUGAGCGAGUUAAAUUCUCGGGAUGACCUAUUUAUAGGGGAAAUGCUGCCGAAUUGUCUGUAGAAUUUAAUGUUAGUUGGAAUAAAUGGCUUAAGUGCCUAUGUUUAAUAUUGGAUAUUCGUUGGCAUAUUUGUAGACCUUGGGGAGCCCGAGGCGUAGAUUGGAAUUUACUUUAUAUUGGCCAUCUUGGAGUGCGUACGAGACCUUGGGGAGCCCGAGGCGUAGAUUGGAAUUUACUUUAUAUUGGCCAUCUUGGAGUGCGUACGAGGUAUGUAAAGCAACCUCCCUUCUUUUUGGCAUGUCUUAGUUUUACAUAGGCUAGAUUAGAGCCUUAAGGAAAUUCCAAAUCCGAAAUCCGAGCAUGAUAUGAUCUAUAUAUGUUCCUUGGCACUCUUAUGUAUGAUUUGAUGAAAUAUGAACCUUUAUGUAUUUGAAAUAAUCGCUUUCCAAACUUUGCGCAAAAAGGUUUCACUUUAAAGAACUUCGGAAUUUCUGAAUGCCAUACAUUUCACAUAAAUGCUCGGAUUACUCCAAUAUUUUUAUAAAAGUUUGCAUUAUGUAUGAUACGUAUGUUUUUCAUAGGCGGGCCCGACUUGGGUAAAUACCCGUCCGUGGGUCCCGCGACUUUCCUUUAUGUAAUUCAGAGAAUCUUUGAAAGAAUUUGGUAUGAUUAUUAUUCCGAUUUCAAAUA